CAGUUGCAGAAACCCUAAUAAUGUGUAUAUAAUUCUGCUUCAAUUUUUAGCUGACAGAAUGUAAAGCUAUCAGAUUAAAAUGAGAUUUUUUUUCUUACUAAAAUUUAACAUUUUUCAUGUUCAUGGGAUGGGAGUAGGAGAAAUACACAGGAACAUUACACAACAACACCAAAUAAACGAAGCAAUCUGUGCCACACAUGGUGCCAGUUGUCAAUUCCAUAUCAAUCCUUCCCUUCUAUAAAUAUAGGUUACAGCUCUUCACAUCACUGGCCAUACCAUAUCAGUCAUUUCCUUUUCUUCAACUUGCGUCUUCGUUCAAUCGUUUGGUUCUUCUGUUUUAUCGCUUAUUUUUCUCGUGGUACGAUGUCGGAUACCAGCGGCUCCACCGUAACCGACGGCGGCGAGAUUAUGUUGUUCGGCGUGAGAGUGGUGGUGGACUCCAUGAGGAAGAGUGUGAGUAUGAAUAACUUGUCUCAGUAUGUACAGCCUCAUGAAAACAACGGUAACGAUAACAACAACAAUAAGAAUGACGUUGCGGCUGCUGGUUACGCCUCUGCCGACGACGCAGUUCCAAACUCUAGAGCGAGUCGCGAGCGGAAGCGAGGAGUGCCGUGGACGGAGGAAGAGCAUAAGCUGUUCUUGUUAGGGUUACAGAAAGUAGGGAGAGGAGAUUGGAGAGGAAUCUCUAGAAACUUCGUUAAGACUAGAACUCCAACACAGGUGGCUAGUCAUGCUCAGAAGUACUUUCUUCGCCGGAGCAAUCUCAACCGGCGACGCCGCCGAUCUAGCCUCUUCGAUAUCACUACAGAUUCGGUGGUAGAUAUAUCAGUAGAUGAUGAGCAAGUGGAGCAACUAGACAACAAUCCAUCAGCCACUGUGCAGCGGCUUGAAACAAACAAUUUUGCUAUGAUACUUCCUGUGCCUUUCUUUUUACCAGCAAGCAUCGACAAUCCAAUGGAAAAUCUGAUAGUAGGAAAACUCAAUCAGUCAAGCAUAAUUGGGACAAACCAUGUUUGUCCAAAUCCUAUGGUUCCGGCUCCCGGAGCCGUAACAGUGUCCGAUCUUAACUUGAAUUUAAAUCUAAUGAUGGAUCCAUCGCCAUUGCCCCUCAAGCUGUCGUUGCAGAGGGGGCAAAGGGAAUCUUCCUCGUCAAGGCAUUCAGCUUUUCAGGUGAUGCCAACCUUAAAUCAUGGGGAUGGCAAUAACAUGAUCAGUGUUGCUUGAGAAGGGAAAUAAAAGUUGAAAGGAAGGUGGAUAAUUAGAGGGUGAUGCUAUGCUGAUAAGGAUACCUUAUCUUUGGACUUAUAUAAAGAGCUGAACGAGUUGCCAGUUAUGGCUGUUUGGUCUUUACUUAGACAGGCAAAGUAGGCUGUCAGUCAUGUCAAUUUUAUAGGCUGCAAAUGGGAUAAUUUCUAUGGUGAAAGGGCCUUCCGCCACAGGAGGGCUUGCAUGAGCUUUGAAGACAGUGACAACACCUCUCUAAGUCAAUUCCCCGGCCAAGAGUAUUGCAGAAAUUACAAGUGAAACAGUAGUGGCUUUUGCCUUUUUCCCACCUGAA
RNA transcript from Mangifera indica (mango), 1558 nucleotides. It is a transcript of the gene named transcription factor MYB1R1-like, with no coding region annotated. Lineage: Eukaryota; Viridiplantae; Streptophyta; Magnoliopsida; Sapindales; Anacardiaceae. The transcript has 5 exons. The record is from RefSeq and is a predicted model, not a curated record.